GUGGAAAAUGCAUUCAAUUUCGCCUCCUAUUUGAGUAAGGCUGGAAAGGGCAGGUCUAUUUCAUAGGAUGUAAAAAGUGAAGGUCUCUCCAGUCUUGCUCUUCCUCUUGCUAGGCGAGGCGCCAGUCUUCUUCAUCUAGCUGCAUUGCAUCAAUAUGGAUCAAAUAAUCCAUUGGGUGUACAUUCAGAGAUGGAUAAAAUUGCUUUUUACCCAUCUAGGUUUUUUUCUCAGUUGGUUAGCUAGUUCAAUUUGUUAUGUAAUUUUGCUAGUCGUGGGUUAGCCCACUGGUGGAUUGAGCUUGACGCUUCCAUUCCUUCAAUUCAUGCCGAUUGAUGUUCCCAUAGUAAUCU
RNAcentral lists this unclassified non-coding RNA (350 nucleotides) under Hevea brasiliensis (rubber tree). The record is from RNAcentral. Lineage: Eukaryota; Viridiplantae; Streptophyta; Magnoliopsida; Malpighiales; Euphorbiaceae.